This 468-nucleotide ribosomal RNA is filed under the name uncultured bacterium. Its description in RNAcentral is "partial 16S ribosomal RNA". It matches the Rfam family "Bacterial small subunit ribosomal RNA", at positions 28 to 507 of the family's 1533-position model. The record is from RNAcentral.
GACGAACGCUGGCGGCGUGCUUAACACAUGCAAGUCGAACGGAAAGGCCCUGCUUUUGUUGGGUGCUCGAGUGGCGAACGGGUGAGUAACACGUGAGUAACCUGCCCUUGACUUUGGGAUAACUUCAGGAAACUGGGGCUAAUACCGGAUAGGAGCUCCUGCUGCAUGGUGGGGGUUGGAAAGUUUCGGCGGGUGGGGAUGGACUCGCGGCUUAUCAGCUUGUUGGUGGGGUAGUGGCUUACCAAGGCUUUGACGGGUAGCCGGCCUGAGAGGGUGACCGGCGACAUUGGGACUGAGAUACGGACCAGAGUCCUACGGGAGGCAGCAGUGGGGAAUAUUGCACAAUGGGCGGAAGCCUGAUGCAGAAACGCCGCGUGCGGGAUGACGGCCUUCGGGUUGUAAACCGCUUUCGCCUGUGACGAAGCGUGAGUGACGGUAAUGGGUAAAGAAGCACCGGCUAACUACGUG